Molecule: ribosomal RNA, 250 nt
Filed under: uncultured bacterium
Lineage: Bacteria
Description: partial 16S ribosomal RNA
Rfam family: Bacterial small subunit ribosomal RNA
Source: RNAcentral
UACGUAGGGUCCGAGCGUUGUCCGGAAUUAUUGGGCGUAAAGAGCUCGUAGGCGGUUUGUCACGUCGGGAGUGAAAACCAGGUGCUUAACACCUGGCCUGCUUUCGAUACGGGCAGACUUGAGGCAUUCAGGGGAGAACGGAAUUCCUGGUGUAGCGGUGAAAUGCGCAGAUAUCAGGAGGAACACCGGUGGCGAAGGCGGUUCUCUGGGAAUGUUCUGACGCUGAGGAGCGAAAGUGUGGGGAGCGAAC